GAUUUCUGGUUUGACAUGCCUGGCCCGCCGGGGUCACCUGUGUGAGUGCCGGUGCGCGUCUACCAUCCUUCUGCAGAACGGCCUUACCCUUCACUGGGCCGAGGUCGCGAUGCAGAUCUUUUACUUUGAAAAAAUUAGAGUGUUUAAAGCAGGCUUACGCUGUGAAUACAUUAGCAUGGAAUAAUAAUUUAGGACUUCGGUUCUAUUUUGUUGGUUUCUAGGACUGAAGUAAUGAUUGAUAGGGAUAGUUGGGGGUGCUAGUAUUCAGCGGCCAGAGGUGAAAUUCUCGGAUUCGCUGAAGACUAACUUAUGCGAAAGCAUU
Molecule: ribosomal RNA, 322 nt
Filed under: uncultured Nudifila
Lineage: Eukaryota; Cercozoa; Imbricatea
Description: SSU rRNA
Rfam family: Eukaryotic small subunit ribosomal RNA (bases 113-322)
Source: RNAcentral